RNAcentral lists this ribosomal RNA (301 nucleotides) under uncultured bacterium. RNAcentral describes it as "partial 16S ribosomal RNA". It matches the Rfam family "Bacterial small subunit ribosomal RNA", at positions 509 to 807 of the family's 1533-position model. The record is from RNAcentral.
CAGUCGCCGCGGUAAUACGGAGGGAGCUAGCGUUGUUCGGAAUUACUGGGCGUAAAGCGCGCGUAGGCGGUUACUCAAGUCAGAGGUGAAAGCCCGGGGCUCAACCCCGGAACUGCCUUUGAAACUAGGUGACUAGAAUCUUGGAGAGGUCAGUGGAAUUCCGAGUGUAGAGGUGAAAUUCGUAGAUAUUCGGAAGAACACCAGUGGCGAAGGCGACUGACUGGACAAGUAUUGACGCUGAGGUGCGAAAGCGUGGGUAGCAAACAGGAUUAGAUACCCCUGUAGUCCCUGUCUCUUAUAC